This 517-nucleotide ribosomal RNA is filed under the name uncultured bacterium. RNAcentral describes it as "partial 16S ribosomal RNA". It matches the Rfam family "Bacterial small subunit ribosomal RNA", at positions 355 to 886 of the family's 1533-position model. The record is from RNAcentral.
UGGGGAAUAUUGCACAAUGGGCGAAAGCCUGAUGCAGCAACGCCGCGUGAGUGAUGAAGGUCUUCGGAUUGUAAAGCUCUGUCUUUUGGGACGAUAAUGACGGUACCAAAGGAGGAAGCCACGGCUAACUACGUGCCAGCAGCCGCGGUAAUACGUAGGUGGCGAGCGUUGUCCGGAUUUACUGGGCGUAAAGGGUGCGUAGGCGGAUGUUUAAGUGAGAUGUGAAAUACCCGGGCUUAACUUGGGUGCUGCAUUUCAAACUGGAUAUCUAGAGUGCAGGAGAGGAGAAUGGAAUUCCUAGUGUAGCGGUGAAAUGCGUAGAGAUUAGGAAGAACACCAGUGGCGAAGGCGAUUCCCUGGACUGUAACUGACGCUGAGGCACGAAAGCGUGGGUAGCAAACAGGAUUAGAUACCCUGGUAGUCCACGCCGUAAACGAUGAGUACUAGGUGUAGGAGGUAUCGACCCCUUCUGUGCCGCAGUAAAACACAUUAAGUACUCCGCCUGGGGAAGUACGAU